CGGUUGAUCCUGCCGGACCCUACUGCUAUCGGGGUAGGACUAAGACAUGCGAGUCGAGCGUCUCCAAAGCUUUGUGAGACGCGGCAGACGGCUCAGUAACACGUGGCUAACCUACCCUCAGGACGGUUAUACACCCGGGAAACUGGGGCUAAUAACCGGUAAGAGAGGUAGGCUGGAAUGCUACCUCUCUCCAAGGACAAAGAAACAUGCUUUCUUUGUCGCCUGAGGAUGGGGCCGCGUCCGAUCAGGUUGUUGGUGAGGUAAUGGCUCACCAAGCCUUUAACCGGUACGGGCCAUGAGAGUGGUAGCCCGGAGAUGGGUACUGAGACAAGGACCCAGGCCCUACGGGGCGCAGCAGUCGCGAAAACUCCGCAAUGCACGAAAGUGUGACGGGGCUACCCCGAGUGCCGUCCGCUGAGGAUGGCUUUUCCUUGGUGUAACUAGCCGGGGGAAUAAGGAGAGGGCAAGACUGGUGUCAGCCGCCGCGGUAAUACCAGCUCUCCGAGUGGUAGGGAUGAUUAUUGGGCUUAAAGCGUCCGUAGCCGGCUUAGCAAGUUUCCUGUUAAAUUCAGCGACCUAAUCGUUGAGCCGCGGGAAAUACUACUAGGCUAGGAGGCGGGAGAGGUCGACGGUACUUCUGGGGUAGGGGUGAAAUCCUAUAAUCCCGGGAGGACCACCAGUGGCGAAGGCUGUCGACUAGAACGCGCUCGACGGUGAGGGACGAAAGCUGGGGGAGCGAACCGGAUUAGAUACCCGGGUAGUCCCAGCUGUAAACGAUGCGGGCUAGGUGUUGGGGUGGCUACGUGCCACUUCAGUGCCGCAGGGAAGCCAUUAAGCCCGCCGCCUGGGGAGUACGGCCGCAAGGCUGAAACUUAAAGGAAUUGGCGGGGGAGCAC
This 896-nucleotide ribosomal RNA is filed under the name uncultured archaeon. Its description in RNAcentral is "bacterial SSU rRNA". It matches the Rfam family "Archaeal small subunit ribosomal RNA", at positions 5 to 879 of the family's 1478-position model. The record is from RNAcentral.